UUAAAUUGAAGAGUUUGAUCAUGGCUCAGAUUGAACGCUGGCGGCAGGCCUAACACAUGCAAGUCGAACGGUAGCACAGAGAGCUUGCUCUCGGGUGACGAGUGGCGGACGGGUGAGUAAUGUCUGGGAAACUGCCUGAUGGAGGGGGAUAACUACUGGAAACGGUGGCUAAUACCGCAUAACGUCGCAAGACCAAAGAGGGGGACCUUCGGGCCUCUUGCCAUCAGAUGUGCCCAGAUGGGAUUAGCUAGUUGGUGAGGUAACGGCUCACCAAGGCGACGAUCCCUAGCUGGUCUGAGAGGAUGACCAGCCACACUGGAACUGAGACACGGUCCAGACUCCUACGGGAGGCAGCAGUGGGGAAUAUUGCACAAUGGGCGCAAGCCUGAUGCAGCCAUGCCGCGUGUAUGAAGAAGGCCUUCGGGUUGUAAAGUACUUUCAGCGGGGAGGAAGGUGUUGUGGUUAAUAACCGCAGCAAUUGACGUUACCCGCAGAAGAAGCACCGGCUAACUCCGUGCCAGCAGCCGCGGUAAUACGGAGGGUGCAAGCGUUAAUCGGAAUUACUGGGCGUAAAGCGCACGCAGGCGGUCUGUCAAGUCGGAUGUGAAAUCCCCGGGCUCAACCUGGGAACUGCAUUCGAAACUGGCAGGCUUGAGUCUUGUAGAGGGGGGUAGAAUUCCAGGUGUAGCGGUGAAAUGCGUAGAGAUCUGGAGGAAUACCGGUGGCGAAGGCGGCCCCCUGGACAAAGACUGACGCUCAGGUGCGAAAGCGUGGGGAGCAAACAGGAUUAGAUACCCUGGUAGUCCACGCCGUAAACGAUGUCUACUUGGAGGUUGUGCCCUUGAGGCGUGGCUUCCGGAGCUAACGCGUUAAGUAGACCGCCUGGGGAGUACGGCCGCAAGGUUAAAACUCAAAUGAAUUGACGGGGGCCCGCACAAGCGGUGGAGCAUGUGGUUUAAUUCGAUGCAACGCGAAGAACCUUACCUGGUCUUGACAUCCACAGAACUUUCCAGAGAUGGAUUGGUGCCUUCGGGAACUGUGAGACAGGUGCUGCAUGGCUGUCGUCAGCUCGUGUUGUGAAAUGUUGGGUUAAGUCCCGCAACGAGCGCAACCCUUAUCCUUUGUUGCCAGCGAUUAGGUCGGGAACUCAAAGGAGACUGCCAGUGAUAAACUGGAGGAAGGUGGGGAUGACGUCAAGUCAUCAUGGCCCUUACGACCAGGGCUACACACGUGCUACAAUGGCGCAUACAAAGAGAAGCGACCUCGCGAGAGCAAGCGGACCUCAUAAAGUGCGUCGUAGUCCGGAUUGGAGUCUGCAACUCGACUCCAUGAAGUCGGAAUCGCUAGUAAUCGUGGAUCAGAAUGCCACGGUGAAUACGUUCCCGGGCCUUGUACACACCGCCCGUCACACCAUGGGAGUGGGUUGCAAAAGAAGUAGGUAGCUUAACCUUCGGGAGGGCGCUUACCACUUUGUGAUUCAUGACUGGGGUGAAGUCGUAACAAGGUAACCGUAGGGGAACCUGCGGUUGGAUCACCUCCUUACCUUAAAGAAGC
RNAcentral lists this ribosomal RNA (1554 nucleotides) under Salmonella enterica subsp. enterica. Its description in RNAcentral is "bacterial SSU rRNA". It matches the Rfam family "Bacterial small subunit ribosomal RNA". Lineage: Bacteria; Pseudomonadati; Pseudomonadota; Gammaproteobacteria; Enterobacterales; Enterobacteriaceae. RNAcentral also lists the same sequence under 1 other name. The record is from RNAcentral.